This 220-nucleotide ribosomal RNA is filed under the name uncultured eukaryote. RNAcentral's name for it is "partial 18S ribosomal RNA". It matches the Rfam family "Eukaryotic small subunit ribosomal RNA", at positions 1299 to 1458 of the family's 1831-position model. The record is from RNAcentral.
UCGUGGAGUGAUUUGUCUUGUUAAUUCAGUUAACGAACGAGACCUUAACCUACUAACUAGGCUAUAGGCCAGCUUUCGGGCUGGUCAGUUUCUUCGGGGUGGUUCGUAUGAGCCAUCUCUUGAAACCUAUAAUAUGGAACUUCACUUUCGGGUGGAGUUUUGCUUCUUAGAGGGACAAUACUUCGUUUAUAUUAGAGUAAGGAAGUUUAAGGCAAUAACA